AGUGAACGCUGGCGGUAGGCCUAACACAUGCAAGUCGAACGGCAGCACAGAGGAGCUUGCUCCUUGGGUGGCGAGUGGCGGACGGGUGAGGAAUACAUCGGAAUCUACUCUGUCGUGGGGGAUAACGUAGGGAAACUUACGCUAAUACCGCAUACGACCUACGGGGGAAAGCAGGGGACCUUCGGCCCUUGCGCGACUGAAUGACCCGAUGUCGGAUUAGCUAGUUGGCGGGGUAAAGGCCCACCAAGGCGACGAUCCGUAGCUGGUCUGAGAGGAUGAUCAGCCACACUGGAACUGAGACACGGUCCAGACUCCUACGGGAGGCAGCAGUGGGGAAUAUUGGACAAUGGGCGCAAGCCUGAUCCAGCCAUACCGCGUGGGUGAAGUAGGCCUUCGGGUUGUAAAGCCCUUUUGUUGGGAAAGAAAUCCAGCUGGCUAAUACCCGGUUGGGAUGACGGUACCCAAAGAAUAAGCACCGGCUAACUUCGUGCCAGCCGCCGCCGUAA
This 506-nucleotide ribosomal RNA is filed under the name uncultured bacterium. RNAcentral's name for it is "partial 16S ribosomal RNA". It matches the Rfam family "Bacterial small subunit ribosomal RNA", at positions 29 to 523 of the family's 1533-position model. The record is from RNAcentral.